UGGGGAAUAUUGCACAAUGGGCGCAAGCCUGAUGCAGCCAUGCCGCGUGUGUGAAGAAGGCCUUCGGGUUGUAAAGCACUUUCAGCGGGGAGGAAGGCGAUAAGGUUAAUAACCUUGUCGAUUGACGUUACCCGCAGAAGAAGCACCGGCUAACUCCGUGCCAGCAGCCGCGGUAAUACGGAGGGUGCAAGCGUUAAUCGGAAUUACUGGGCGUAAAGCGCACGCAGGCGGUCUGUCAAGUCGGAUGUGAAAUCCCCGGGCUCGACCUGGGAACUGCAUUCGAAACUGGCAGGCUAGAGUCUUGUAGAGGGGGGUAGAAUUCCAGGUGUAGCGGUGAAAUGCGUAGAGAUCUGGAGGAAUACCGGUGGCGAAGGCGGCCCCCUGGACAAAGACUGACGCUCAGGUGCGAAAGCGUGGGGAGCAAACAGG
This 429-nucleotide ribosomal RNA is filed under the name Chloroflexota bacterium. Its description in RNAcentral is "Chloroflexi bacterium partial 16S ribosomal RNA". It matches the Rfam family "Bacterial small subunit ribosomal RNA", at positions 355 to 776 of the family's 1533-position model. The record is from RNAcentral. Lineage: Bacteria; Bacillati; Chloroflexota.